This 254-nucleotide ribosomal RNA is filed under the name uncultured bacterium. RNAcentral describes it as "partial 16S ribosomal RNA". It matches the Rfam family "Bacterial small subunit ribosomal RNA", at positions 524 to 776 of the family's 1533-position model. The record is from RNAcentral.
UACGUAGGGAGCGAGCGUUGUCCGGAAUUAUUGGGCGUAAAGAGCUCGUAGGCGGUGUGUCACGUCGGCCGUGAAAACCUGCAGCUUAACUGUGGGCGUGCGGUCGAUACGGGCAUCACUGGAGUUCGGCAGGGGAGACUGGAAUUCCUGGUGUAGCGGUGAAAUGCGCAGAUAUCAGGAGGAACACCGGUGGCGAAGGCGGGUCUCUGGGCCGAUACUGACGCUGAGGAGCGAAAGCGUGGGGAGCGAACAGG